AAAAUAGAGCGCUAGGGUUCCGGUCACCUCCAAAUGAAAGGUGACGACUGGUCCGAGAGCACUCGACCUCUCAGCUGAGCGUUAGGGCUCUGCGAUGGGUUACACGGCGGGACAAAAGCCCGGGAGAC
Molecule: small RNA, 128 nt
Filed under: Marinobacterium lacunae
Lineage: Bacteria; Pseudomonadati; Pseudomonadota; Gammaproteobacteria; Oceanospirillales; Oceanospirillaceae
Also listed under: 1 other name
Description: Marinobacterium sp. AK27 Guanidine-I riboswitch aptamer
Rfam family: Guanidine-I riboswitch aptamer
About the family: This family represents a conserved RNA structure found upstream of the ykkC and yxkD genes in Bacillus subtilis and related genes in other bacteria. The function of this family is unclear although it has been suggested that it may function to switch on efflux pumps and detoxification systems in response to harmful environmental molecules. Nelson showed that this riboswitch senses and responds to guanidine and it was renamed Guanidine-I riboswitch.
Source: Rfam by way of RNAcentral